Molecule: long non-coding RNA, 1042 nt
Filed under: Astyanax mexicanus (Mexican tetra)
Lineage: Eukaryota; Metazoa; Chordata; Actinopteri; Characiformes; Acestrorhamphidae
Description: lncRNA (ENSAMXG00005001593.1)
Source: RNAcentral
AUUUUAAUGAGCAGGGGUGUACGCAAAGUGCUGGGAGCACCUAUAGGAAUGGACUCUGAUGAUUGACUGUUGUCAGGGUUUUAAUCAGUCAGUGGAGCUCCUGUGUAUUCCACCACCAAAAUUCUGUAGCAACAAGUCAGAAAUUUACCUGAACACACACCACUUCCAGACCACCACACCCAUCAGGCUAUUUUAACUGUGUGGGCACAAGGCAUGAAAAUGUUGACUGUUGAUGGGGUGAAAGAUAGCAAAGAGCAUCACAACGCGCCCUGUGCAGGUGUACGAAAGGACUGUAAGCUGUUUUCUCAUGUGUGUGUGUGUGCUUGUAUGUGUUUUCAUAGGCUAAUGACACCAUUAGAGAGAAGCUAAUAAGUGAAGCGGCUAACGCUAGACAGCUGGCAACAAAAGUCCGUUUACAGGAUUCCUACCGGCGCAACAUGAGUUCCAGCAUCAACGCCCUGGAAAACAUCAGCAAAAAUUACAAGACGAAUGCAGACAACACUCUUCUGAGCAUGAGCGAAACUGAAAACGCUCUUCAGCUUGAAGUUCCGCAUAUCGUGCAAGAUGUGUCUGGGUGUAUGAUGGAGAAGGGGGAGAAUUUGCUGACGCAGUAUUUGGACGUGGUCAGAUAUGUGAUCUGUGGAUACGCUUCAUCACUUUCAGAUAAUAGACCAGGCGCUGAGCUGCCUCUGGCUUCCUCCUUCCCUCGACAACCUGUACACCGCCACCUGCCGAAACCUGAUUGGACCAUGGGUGAGUUUCAGUGACAUGUAUAGCAAUAUAUUGUACAGUGUAAUACUAGUGUACUAAGUAUUUUGGAACUACAGCUCUGGAAAAAAUAAGAGACCACUUAAAAAUGAUGAGUUUCUUUGAUUUUACCAAAUUGAAAACCUCUGGAAUAUAAUCAAGAGGAAGAUGGAUGAUCACAAGCCAUCAAACCAAACUGAACUGCUUGAAUUUUUGCACCUGGAGUAAAGGCAUAAAGUUAUCCAAAAGCAGUGUGUAAGACUGGUGGAGGAGAACAUGCCAAGAUGCAUGAAAA